AACAAAACAUAAGUGGUACGCACUUGGAUGGUCUUCUCUCUACAAUAUAAUUUUUGUUAAGAAAGCUUUCCAUGGUGCUAAGGUAUGAUUUUCUAUUAUUGUAAAGGCCUAUAAAUUUUCAAGUUUCAAUUAGCUUUCCCUACUAUUGAGGGCUAAUGAGAGGACACAAAAAUGAGAGUUACUAAAAUCAUAUGUGUAUUUCCUAAUAACAAGCAAUAAUAAGUUCAUUUGCAAUUACACAAUUGAUAUGAGAGAGCUUAUAGUUUAGGAAUAUGGCAAUUAGUAUUUCAAUUUCUUUACAAGAUCUAAGUUUCUAUGGAAAUGCAAUUUUAUUAUUUUCAAAAUAAUAUAAAGAGAAGUAGUAUCAAAAGAUUCACUGUUUUAAAUAUUAACGUAGAACUAGUUUCAAGCAAAACUAGAUGGUAAAAAAGAAUCUACAUGGCCUACCUAAAUUAAUUUGGGAUUAAGACUUUGUUGUUG
This 480-nucleotide unclassified non-coding RNA is filed under the name Hevea brasiliensis (rubber tree). The record is from RNAcentral. Lineage: Eukaryota; Viridiplantae; Streptophyta; Magnoliopsida; Malpighiales; Euphorbiaceae.